Molecule: ribosomal RNA, 106 nt
Filed under: uncultured bacterium
Lineage: Bacteria
Description: partial 16S ribosomal RNA
Rfam family: Bacterial small subunit ribosomal RNA
Source: RNAcentral
CCUUGUACACACCGCCCGUCACAUCACGAAAGUCGGCUGUACCGGAAGUCGGUAGGCUAACCCGCAAGGGGGGCAGUCGCCCAUGGUAUGGUCGGUGAUUGGGGUG